UACGUAGGGGGCUAGCGUUGCUCGGAAUCACUGGGCGUAAAGCGCACGUAGGCGGUUUGCUAAGUCAGGGGUGAAAUCCUGGAGCUCAACUCCAGAACUGCCUUUGAUACUGGCGAUCUCGAGUCCGGGAGAGGUGAGUGGAACUGCGAGUGUAGAGGUGAAAUUCGUAGAUAUUCGCAAGAACACCAGUGGCGAAGGCGGCUCACUGGCCCGGUACUGACGCUGAGGUGCGAAAGCGUGGGGAGCAAACAGG
RNAcentral lists this ribosomal RNA (253 nucleotides) under uncultured bacterium. RNAcentral describes it as "partial 16S ribosomal RNA". It matches the Rfam family "Bacterial small subunit ribosomal RNA", at positions 524 to 776 of the family's 1533-position model. The record is from RNAcentral.